AUUGCUGGUCCUACUCAGAAUAGACUUACUGAAGUUAAUAGACAUUAGUAACUUGGGUCCAUUAAUUUCAGUAGGUUUACUCUGAGUAGGACUAGCAUC
This is a non-coding RNA of Podarcis lilfordi (Lilford's wall lizard), 99 nucleotides long. NCBI's taxonomy places the organism in Eukaryota, Metazoa, Chordata, Lepidosauria, Squamata, Lacertidae. The record is from the annotation of a GenBank genome assembly.